AGCGAACGCUGGCGGCAGGCCUAACACAUGCAAGUCGAACGAACCUUUCGGGGUUAGUGGCGGACGGGUGAGUAACACCUGGGAACGUGCCUUUAGGUUCGGAAUAACUCAGGGAAACUUGUGCUAAUACCGAAUGUGCCCUUCGGGGGAAAGAUUUAUCGCCUUUAGAGCGGCCCGCGUCUGAUUAGCUAGUUGGUUGAGGUAAUGGCUCACCAAGGCGACGAUCAGUAGCUGGUCUGAGAGGAUGAUCAGCCACAUUGGGACUGAGACACGGCCCAAACUCCUACGGGAGGCAGAAGUGGGGAAUCUGGCGCAAUGGGCGAAAGCAUGACGCAGCCAUGCCGCGUGAAUGAUGAAGGUCUGAGGAUUGUAAAAUUCUUUCACCGGGGACGAUAAUGACGGUACCCGGAGAAGAAGCCCCGGCUAACUUCGUG
This 434-nucleotide ribosomal RNA is filed under the name uncultured bacterium. RNAcentral's name for it is "partial 16S ribosomal RNA". It matches the Rfam family "Bacterial small subunit ribosomal RNA", at positions 29 to 507 of the family's 1533-position model. The record is from RNAcentral.